CCUACGGGAGGCAGCAGUGGGGAAUAUUGGGCAAUGGGCGCAAGCCUGACCCAGCAACGCCGCGUGAAGGAAGAAGGCUUUCGGGUUGUAAACUUCUUUUCUCAGGGACCAAGCCCGUGACGGUACCUGAUCAAUAAGCCACGGCUAACUACGUGCCAGCAUCCGCGGGAAUACGUAGGUGGCAAUCGUUAUCCGGAUUUACUGGGUGUAAAGGGCGUGUAGGCGGGGACGCAAGUCAGAUGUGAAAACCACGGGCUCAACCUGUGGACUGCAUUUGAAACUGUGUUUCUUGAGUGCGGGAGAGGCAGACGGAAUUCCUAGUGUAGCGGUGAAAUGCGUAGAUAUUAGGAGGAACACCAGUGGCGAAGGCGGUCUGCUGGACAGCAACUGACGCUGAGGCGCGAAAGCGUGGGGAGCAAACAGGAUUAGAUACCCGUGUAGUC
RNAcentral lists this ribosomal RNA (443 nucleotides) under uncultured bacterium. Its description in RNAcentral is "partial 16S ribosomal RNA". It matches the Rfam family "Bacterial small subunit ribosomal RNA", at positions 338 to 795 of the family's 1533-position model. The record is from RNAcentral.